RNAcentral lists this ribosomal RNA (773 nucleotides) under uncultured Neocallimastigales. Its description in RNAcentral is "partial large subunit ribosomal RNA". It matches the Rfam family "Eukaryotic large subunit ribosomal RNA", at positions 24 to 616 of the family's 3401-position model. Lineage: Eukaryota; Fungi; Neocallimastigomycota; Neocallimastigomycetes; Neocallimastigales. The record is from RNAcentral.
AUGUGAUCGUCUCUCGCAUAUCAAUAAGCGGAGGAAAAGAAACUAACAAGGAUUCCCCUAGUAACGGCGAGUGAAGCGGGAAGAGCUCAAAUUUGAAAUCUUAAAGGGUUUCCCUUUACGGAUUGUAGUUUAAAGAAGUGUUUUCUGUUGAGGUUUUGGUAAAAGUUCUUUGGAAUAGGACAUCAUAGAGGGUGAGAAUCCCGUAUUUGACCUUUACUUUCAAUUUUGUGAUACACUUUCAAAGAGUCGGAUUGUCUGGGAAUGCAGUCCAAAAUGGGUGGUAAAUUUCAUCUAAAGCUAAAUAUUGGCGAGAGACCGAUAGCGAACAAGUACCGUGAGGGAAAGAUGAAAAGAACUUUGAAAAGAGAGUUAAACAGUACGUGAAAUUGUCAAAAGGGAAGCGUUUGACACCAGUGUUGUUUUUCUGAAAAUCAAUUAAAGAACUGUUUAUGCUAAGCUGUUUAGACUUUAUCAGCUAUCUGUUUAGUUUUGAGCUUUUCUUUAAUGCACUUUUCAGUUAACAAGUCAACAUCAAUUUCUUUUGCUGUAAAAAAGCUUGAGGAAGGUGGCUUGAGAUUCGUCUUAAGUGUUUAUAGCCUCUUGCCUAUGCAGUCGGAGAGAUUGAGGUCUGCAGCGUAGAUCCUUCGGGGCUAAAUGCAUUUGUGCUAAGUUAUAGCAUUUUAUAGACAACUUGUUGACUAUGAUUUGUCUUGUAGCUUACUCGCUUAUGUUAUUUUACCUACGCUUAGGAUGUUGAGCGCAUGUCUCUCUCU